GACGAACGCUGGCGGCGUGCUUAACACAUGCAAGUCGAACGGAAAGGCCCUGCUUUUGUGGGGUGCUCGAGUGGCGAACGGGUGAGUAACACGUGAGUAACCUGCCCUUGACUUUGGGAUAACUUCAGGAAACUGGGGCUAAUACCGGAUAGGAGCUCCUGCUGCAUGGUGGGGGUUGGAAAGUUUCGGCGGUUGGGGAUGGAUUCGCGGCUUAUCAGCUUGUUGGUGGGGUAGUGGCUUACAAAGGCUUUGACGGGUAGCCGGCCUGAGAGGGUGACCGGCCACAUUGGGACUGGGAUACGGCCCAGACUCCGACGGGAGACAGCAGUGGGGAAUAUUGCACAAUGGGCGGAAGCCUGAUGCAGCAACGCCGCGUGCGGGAUGACGGCCUUCGGGUUGUAAACCGCUUUCGCCUGUGACGAAGCGUGAGUGACGGUAAUGGGUAAAGAAGCACCGGCUAACUACGUG
RNAcentral lists this ribosomal RNA (468 nucleotides) under uncultured bacterium. RNAcentral's name for it is "partial 16S ribosomal RNA". It matches the Rfam family "Bacterial small subunit ribosomal RNA", at positions 28 to 507 of the family's 1533-position model. The record is from RNAcentral.